This 1854-nucleotide long non-coding RNA is filed under the name Marmota monax (woodchuck). Lineage: Eukaryota; Metazoa; Chordata; Mammalia; Rodentia; Sciuridae. The record is from RNAcentral.
UGGGUUUAAUCUCCAGCAACCCCCCCCCCCCAGGAAAAAAAAAUGUAGACUUGAGUGGGUGGGAAUAUUUAUCCCAAUCUGCUAUGUGUAAUGUUGUGUUGAAUGCUUUUACAGCAAAAUGUUCAACCGUUCCAUUCCCUUCAAACCCUGGUUAUUAUUAAUGCAUUUCUUCUAAGCCAACGCAUCUUCCCUCUUUGCCCUGUUUUCACUUGUCUCAGUUUCUCAACCCAGGGAAUAAAUACAGUGAAGGAGGUGAUUUUUUUCUCCCUCAAAAUGUUGUCCAACCAACUUGUCAGUCCAAAUUUCUGAUUUCUCUGUUGGUCUUUCCACCAACUGACUGACUCUUGCUGCCCUCUGUCUGAGUCCUCCUUGCAUCCAUCCUACCUUACAGAUGCAUGUUACAUAUACCAACCAGCUAGUUGAAAGACUCAGGUUUACUUCUGGUACUUUACUAACCUUCCCUUUUUCUCUUUCUCCUCCUCUUUCUCCUCUCCUUCUCUUGUUUUCCCUCCUCUCCGUUGCUGCUGCAGAGCGUCUCUACAGCCAACUUGAGCGAAACCGCCUGCUUUCUAAUGAGCUGAAGCUAACGCUGCAUGAUCUGUGUGACUGAUGGGCAGGGCUCACAGAUGCCCAGUAAACCACUGACCUGGACCCCAGCAAAAAAAACUGAUUGUCUUUUAAAAAGUUAUUAUUUUGCCCUAAGCAAGUUGUUUUUUAAUUGGGGCAGUUAGAACACUGUUGAUUUCCUAACAGCAUUGUUAAGUUAGAACAGUUGGAUACUGCAUUUUUAUCCCUUUAAAAGAGAUGAUGAGUUAUGAAGGAAAGGGCCUGAGAUUAUAGUGAAAACUUUUCUCCCGUUUCACUGCUGCUCUUCCAUGUGUGCACUGACUAUAGGAUAUGUUCUUUUGCAUGGAUGUUUUCUAACAAUAAAGAGACUGACUUUACAAGAUGUUGUAACUGCUUCAUCUGCAGGCUCAAGGAUGGGCCCUUCCGACUGGGUGGAAAAAAGGGAAGGGAAAGAAGGGUGUGGGAUAUGAAUAUGGAUCUUUGUUGCCAUCACCUUCUCUGAGUGAAGGUUUGAAUAUUUUCCUCCCCUCCUUAGAGCACUCAGGUUUGCUUGCUUAAUAGAUGAGGUGCUCCUUGAUGGUUAGCCACCAGUUUUCUUCCUAAUAUUUCCCUUCUUGCUUCCUUUUCCUGGUUUUAUGUUUAAUUGCAAGUAACUUGUCACAGGCUAGUUCUGGCUAAUGGCUCUGCAAAAACUAAGUAUAUGUUUAGAUAGUAUUCUUGGCUUUGUUUUCUUUGGCUUAGCCAUGAGGGCUUGUUUAUUUAUCCCACCAACUAUUUCUUUCCCCUUUACUUUUUAGAGAAAACAUGUAGUACAUGAGGAUUUCCUAUGCUCUUUUCAAGUUGAGAUUCUGGUGUUUCACUGGUAGAAAUAUGUCCAUCCUUGUUUGCAACGGUUAGACUGCAGUGGACCUCUUCAAGCAGAUAUUUGUUCCCUGCACAAAACCUAGAAGAGUGGAUGGCUGAAGCUUCAGGCCUGCUCCUUCAGUGACUGAAAUUGAAAGCCUUGGUUGGGUGUGGGAGGGAGAGGAAAUGGCUGAUAAGGUCCUCCACUCCCUCCCCCAGGAAGUACAGCUACUUAGCAACUUUGCAACUUCAGUAGGCAAGCCAGGGGCCCUGCACAAACCCAGUGAGGCAAUGGCUCACUGUUGUGGUUGAGAAGGCAGCUGCUUUCUUAGUCUGCAGCUUCCCUGAAGCAGGACCAAGUCCAGAGAGUGAACAGACCCGGAAAUUUACUUUUGAUAACUUCUCUCCUUUAUCCCCAUUAGAUAAGCUGAAAUGCACCAAAGA